CAAUGCAGAGUACCUGGUGAAUGGGAAAAUAAAGAUAUUCACAAAGACCUAGUUGAGGCAGUUAACGUAUUUGAGCAAAAAGAAAAUA
Molecule: long non-coding RNA, 88 nt
Organism: Xenia sp. Carnegie-2017
Lineage: Eukaryota; Metazoa; Cnidaria; Anthozoa; Malacalcyonacea; Xeniidae
Exons: 3
Source: RefSeq, a predicted model, not a curated record